UGCUCAUCCAGAGGGGUGGAGGGACCGGCCCUGCGAAGCCCCGGCAACCAUCUCGUCAUGUGGACACGCGUUCGUGUCCCGGUCGAGGCAGGUGCCAACUCCGGCCUGGGGUCAAGGUGGCCACCAGGAAAGAUGAGGG
Molecule: non-coding RNA, 139 nt
Organism: Nocardiopsis alba ATCC BAA-2165
Lineage: Bacteria; Bacillati; Actinomycetota; Actinomycetes; Streptosporangiales; Nocardiopsidaceae
Source: Rfam